This 588-nucleotide ribosomal RNA is filed under the name uncultured bacterium. Its description in RNAcentral is "partial 16S ribosomal RNA". It matches the Rfam family "Bacterial small subunit ribosomal RNA", at positions 355 to 1376 of the family's 1533-position model. The record is from RNAcentral.
UGGGGAAUAUUGCACAAUGGGCGCAAGCCUGAUGCAGCCAUGCCGCGUGUGUGAAGAAGGCCUUCGGGUUGUAAAGCACUUUCAGCGAGGAGGAAGGUGGUGAACUUAAUACGUUCAUCAAUUGACGUUACUCGCAGAAGAAGCACCGGCUAACUCCGUGCCAGCAGCCGCGGUAAUACAGAGGGUGCGAGCGUUAAUCGGAUUUACUGGGCGUAAAGCGUGCGUAGGCGGCCAUUUAAGUCAAAUGUGAAAUCCCCGAGCUUAACUUGGGAAUUGCAUUCGAUACUGGAUGGCUAGAGUAUGGGAGAGGAUGGUAGAAUUCCAGGUGUAGCGGUGAAAUGCGUAGAGGUCUGGAGGAAUACCGGUGGCGAAGGCGGCCCCCUGGACGAAGACUGACGCUCAGGUGCGAAAGCGUGGGGAGCAAAACAGGAUUAGAUACCCUGGUAGUCCGCGCUGUAAACGAUGUCGAUUUGGAGGUUGUGCCCUUGAGGCGUGGCUUCCGGAGCUAACGCGUUAAAUCGACCGCCUGGGGAGUACGGCCGCAAGGUUAAAACUUAAAUGAAUUGACGGGGUCAUAGCUGUUUCCUG